GACAGAGGGUGCAAACGUUGCUCGGAAUUACUGGGCGUAAAGCGCGUGUAGGCUGACCGGAAAGUCGGGCGUGAAAUCCCUGAGCUCAACCCAGGAACUGCACUCGAAACUACUUGUCUUGAGUACCGGAGAGGAAAGCGGAAUUCCUGGUGUAGAGGUGAAAUUCGUAGAUAUCAGGAGGAACACCAGUGGCGAAGGCGGCUUUCUGGACGGUAACUGACGCUGAGACGCGAAAGCGUGGGGAGCAAACAGG
This 253-nucleotide ribosomal RNA is filed under the name uncultured bacterium. RNAcentral's name for it is "partial 16S ribosomal RNA". It matches the Rfam family "Bacterial small subunit ribosomal RNA", at positions 524 to 776 of the family's 1533-position model. The record is from RNAcentral.